CAGGCCUAACACAUGCAAGUCGAACGAUGACUCUCUAGCUUGCUAGAGAUGAUUAGUGGCGGACGGGUGAGUAACAUUUAGGAAUCUGCCUAGUAGUGGGGGAUAGCUCGGGGAAACUCGAAUUAAUACCGCAUACGACCUACGGGUGAAAGGGGGCGCAAGCUCUUGCUAUUAGAUGAGCCUAAAUCAGAUUAGCUAGUUGGUGGGGUAAAGGCCCACCAGGGCGACGAUCUGUAACUGGUCUGAGAGGAUGAUCAGUCACACCGGAACUGAGACACGGUCCGGACUCCUACGGGAGGCAGCAGUGGGGAAUAUUGGACAAUGGGGGCAACCCUGAUCCAGCCAUGCCGCGUGUGUGAAGAAGGCCUUUUGGUUGUAAAGCACUUUAAGCAGGGAGGAGAGGCUAAUGGUUAAUACCCAUUAGAUUAGACGUUACCUGCAGAAUAAGCACCGGCUAACUCUGUGCCAGCAGCCGCGGU
This 479-nucleotide ribosomal RNA is filed under the name uncultured bacterium. RNAcentral's name for it is "bacterial SSU rRNA". It matches the Rfam family "Bacterial small subunit ribosomal RNA", at positions 43 to 521 of the family's 1533-position model. The record is from RNAcentral.